This is a non-coding RNA of Lonchura striata (white-rumped munia), 1373 nucleotides long. The record is from RefSeq and is a predicted model, not a curated record. NCBI's taxonomy places the organism in Eukaryota, Metazoa, Chordata, Aves, Passeriformes, Estrildidae.
GUCCCGGUGGAUAACGCGGUGUCUGUCCCCGCUCGGGGGAGGGUCCCGGUGGAUAACGCGGUGUCCCCGCUCAUGGGAGGGUCCCGGUUUUCUAAAUGUUUUAACUCAUCCUGUACAGAUUUGUGCAUUUGUGUCCAUCUCACACACUGCACAAGGAUCCCAGGGCAAUUAACCUUUGGGAGGACACGAACAAGAAACCUCAGGGAGAAGAAAUCCAGGUGAAAAAAGAAAAAGCAGUGACUGAGCUGAGGCACUGGAGCUGCCAGACCCCAGAGUUCACAGAUAACCAGAUUUAUUUCUCCACACAGCCAGGAAUUGUUGUGCCACAGCAGUGCCUAUUUUGAAUUAAGGAAAAUCAAGCCUUGAUGAACAGCCAGAAUGAGAAGUGGGACUAAUUCCCUGCAGCUGGGUCUCUGCUAAACACAACCAGCCCCAAAAUGCUGCCCCAUCUGCAAACUGGACGUGAGCAGCUCAAUUCAUCCCAAAAAAUCCCAAAAUACACUGCAUUCCUGCACUGCUGCAUCUCUAACUCCAGACAAGCCUUGGCUGCCUAUUUCUUUUUUUUUUUUUUUUUAAUUCUGCAAUGAAACUAUGCAGGAAAGAUCCCAACCAUGCAAAGGAAUAUUCUCAGCUAAUAUAAAUCAGGGUUAUUUCACAAAAGGCAAUGAACUGAAGCUGGUUUAUGUCUCCUACAGCUGUAGAUCAAAACAGAAUUAGCUUGAAACCUGCUGCAUGGAGCUAUUUAGAAUUAUUUGUGAAGUGCCUAAUCCCCAGAAGCUUAUGUUCAGAAAGGAUUUUUGGCAGCUAAGCCAGGAAAAGCCACAGAGCAAUCACCAUAAAAUCUCACUGACACUAGCAAGGGUGAGGAGUGUCACUGGAAUGAAAAUAUCCUGGCACCUUUCACACAACAUCAUGCCACUGCUUCAAGAAAGAAUCAUGGGGAGAUCAACCUCACUGCAAUAAAUAUUUCUCAUUUCCAGCGAAACUGAGGAAUUCCACAGGCCAAAGCUGUGCAAUGCAAAGCACUGUAGGGACAAAGAGAAACCAUCCCAGGUAGCACCAUAAACAAACAGAUUUCUCAGAAUUGCUGCUUCUCCAAGACCAGAGGCAUCCAUGAGGUUUCUCUUCCUUAAUAAGCAUCCUUGACAUCCAAUCUGCUCCGUGGUGGGAUUUGAAUAACAACCUUCAGGAUGGGCACCCAUGGCCCCACUGAGCUGUGAAAUGAAUCGGACACAGAGGGACUUCAGGAACAUCUACUGGAAGGACAAUAUUCCACACUUGUCUCUGUAAGGACAUGGACCCUGCUGAGGAAGGGGCUGACACAGAGCCAUUGGGUCAGGAAUAAUGAAUAUCUAAUCUGGUGAAUGCCAGCA